This is a long non-coding RNA of Clupea harengus (Atlantic herring), 205 nucleotides long. RefSeq lists it as uncharacterized. NCBI's taxonomy places the organism in Eukaryota, Metazoa, Chordata, Actinopteri, Clupeiformes, Clupeidae. The transcript has 3 exons. The record is from RefSeq and is a predicted model, not a curated record.
GGAAAUGGUGGAUUGUACUAUUGUGUAGCACACAAUGAAUAUGGCAGUCACAAGUCCUUUGAAAUUGAUACAACUUUUGCAGGUGUGCCGGUAGGGCCAUUUGCAGCUUUGAGGAUUAUACCAGUAGUGGCUCUCAUAGUGAUGCUUGUGUUUGUGUGCAGAAGUAGGAGAGGAGCAUCCACCAAGAGCACCAGUGGGAGAGUGG